ACGUAGGGUGCAAGCGUUAAUCGGAAUUACUGGGCGUAAAGCGUGCGCAGGCGGUUGUGCAAGACAGAUGUGAAAUCCCCGGGCUUAACCUGGGAACUGCAUUUGUGACUGCACGGCUAGAGUGUGUCAGAGUGGGGUAGAAUUCCACGUGUAGCAGUGAAAUGCGUAGAUAUGCGGAGGAACACCGAUGGCGAAGGCAAUCCCCUGGGCCUGCACUGACGCUCAUGCACGAAAGCGUGGGGAGCAAACAGGA
This 253-nucleotide ribosomal RNA is filed under the name uncultured prokaryote. RNAcentral describes it as "partial 16S ribosomal RNA". It matches the Rfam family "Bacterial small subunit ribosomal RNA", at positions 525 to 777 of the family's 1533-position model. The record is from RNAcentral.